This 541-nucleotide ribosomal RNA is filed under the name uncultured bacterium. Its description in RNAcentral is "bacterial SSU rRNA". It matches the Rfam family "Bacterial small subunit ribosomal RNA", at positions 777 to 1319 of the family's 1533-position model. The record is from RNAcentral.
AAUAGAUACCCUGGUAGUCCACUCCGUAAACGUUGGGAACUAGUUGUGGGGGCCUUUUCUACGGUCUCCGUGACGCAGCUAACGCAUUAAGUUCCCCGCCUGGGGAGUACGGCCGCAAGGCUAAAACUCAAAGGAAUUGACGGGGACCCGCACAAGCGGCGGAGCAUGCGGAUUAAUUCGAUGCAACGCGAAGAACCUUACCAAGGCUUGACAUAUACCGGAAACGGCUGGAAACAGUCGCCCCCUUGUGGUCGGUAUACAGGUGGUGCAUGGUUGUCGUCAGCUCGUGUCGUGAGAUGUUGGGUUAAGUCCCGCAACGAGCGCAACCCUCGUUCUAUGUUGCCAGCACGUUAUGGUGGGAACUCAUGGAAUACUGCCGGGGUCAACUCGGAGGAAGGUGGGGAUGACGUCAAAUCAUCAUGCCCCUUAUGUCUUGGGCUUCACGCAUGCUACAAUGCGGUACAAUGGGCUGCGAUACCGUGAGGUGGAGCGAAUCCCAAAAGCCGGUCCCAGUUCGGAUUGUAGUCUGCAACUCGACUAC